UGAGUCGGCCAGGCGGUCGCGUCGGAUCCUUCGGGAUCCGCCGAGGAACGUCCGGGCUCCAAAGGGCAGGGUGGUGGCCAACAGCCACCCGGGGUGACCCGCGGGACAGUGCCACAGAAAACAGACCGCCAGCCUCGGCUGGUAAGGGUGAAACGGUGGUGUAAGAGACCACCAGCGCCCCAGGUGACUGGGGCGGCUCGGUAAACCCCACCCGGAGCAAGCCCAGACAGCGCACGUUCGAGACCGGCCCGGUCGAGUGCGCGGGUAGGGCGCUGGAGCCGGUCAGCAAUGGCCGGCCGAGAUGGAUGGCCGUCGCCGCGUCACUGGCAACGGAGACGCGGAACAGAACCCGGCGUAUCGGCCGACUCAUCCA
This 373-nucleotide RNase P RNA is filed under the name Intrasporangium calvum. RNAcentral's name for it is "RNase P RNA component class A". It matches the Rfam family "Bacterial RNase P class A". From Rfam's summary of the family: Ribonuclease P (RNase P) is a ubiquitous endoribonuclease, found in archaea, bacteria and eukarya as well as chloroplasts and mitochondria. Its best characterised activity is the generation of mature 5'-ends of tRNAs by cleaving the 5'-leader elements of precursor-tRNAs. Cellular RNase Ps are ribonucleoproteins. Lineage: Bacteria; Bacillati; Actinomycetota; Actinomycetes; Micrococcales; Intrasporangiaceae. The record is from RNAcentral.